This 88-nucleotide long non-coding RNA is filed under the name Sitophilus oryzae (rice weevil). RNAcentral's name for it is "uncharacterized LOC115877150". Lineage: Eukaryota; Metazoa; Arthropoda; Insecta; Coleoptera; Curculionidae. The record is from RNAcentral.
AUUAUUAUCGUAAUCAUAGUAAAUCAGCCAGGACACAUCAGCAAUUAUUGUUCUAAAUGAACAGAGAAGGCCAGUAGUUCAAUAAAAA